AUCAAGUUGACAAGUCCCAAACGGGACGAAACACUCGUCCUGGAU
Schistosoma mattheei is the source of this 45-nucleotide non-coding RNA. The record is from Rfam. Lineage: Eukaryota; Metazoa; Platyhelminthes; Trematoda; Strigeidida; Schistosomatidae.